Long non-coding RNA from Salvelinus fontinalis (brook trout), 4068 nucleotides. RefSeq lists it as uncharacterized. NCBI's taxonomy places the organism in Eukaryota, Metazoa, Chordata, Actinopteri, Salmoniformes, Salmonidae. The transcript is spliced from 4 exons. The record is from RefSeq and is a predicted model, not a curated record.
GGGGGGGGGGGGGGUGAACCGUCUGUUGGUCGAAAGGGGUCACUGGUCCUGCGUCAUAUCAAGGGGAAAACGACUUAUAGUAUUGUCAUGAUUGUUUCAAUCAAUCUGACAUUGAAAGGGCUGUUGGUUUUUAAAACGGGUUGAUAGAUCGUCGAUAUUGCAACAUCCUUCAAGAUCACCUCAUUUACGAGACUGCAGGCGUGUUACACCCGUCAUGGUUGGUCCACCGGGCUGCAUAUUGCCGACAAAACUGUAACACGUAGUUAACACCAAACGUUUUAAAUGUGAAGGGGAUAUUUCUAGUUCCUGGUUAGUCACGAGUCAUCAGAGGUCCCAUCGCGUGAUGACGGUGAUAUAUUGAAUCGUUCUUUUUAAUUCAUAUGUAAAAGCACAACAUAUAUUCAUUAAUACUAUGUUGCACAACAUAUAUUCAUUAAUACUAUGUUGUACUUCCACAGUGGUUAUCUGUCUGUCCCUACCCUGGCAUUAUGUUGUCCUAUAGUUUUGGGGUUAAAAGACAUACUGUUGAGAUUCAGGGGACCUGUAUUCAUAAAGCGUCCCAGAGGAGGAACACUCAUCUAGGAUCAAGUUCCCCGCCCCCCCCAGUCCAUUCAUUAUAGUCUUAACAAAGUGGAUCUGAGAACAGCACUCCUACUCUGGGAGGCUUAAUGAAUAUGGGACCUGGUGUCUUGUCACCCAAACAGAACCCAUCUAUUCAGAGUCCUAAGGAAUAAACAGUAAUGGUUAGAACCCAUCCAUCCAGAGUCCUAAGGAAUAAACAGUAACGGUUAGAACCCAUCCAUCCAGAGUCCUAUGGAAUAAACAGUAACGGUUAGAACCCAUCCAUCCAGAGUCCUAUGGAAUAAACAGUGUCAACAGUAACGGUUAGAACCCAUCCAUCCAGAGUCCUAUGGAUUAAACAGUGUCAACAGUAACGGUUAGAACCCAUCCAUCCAGAGUCCUAUGGAAUAAACAGUGUCAACAGUAACGGUUAGAACCCAUCCAUCCAGAGUCCUAUGGAAUAAACAGUGUCAACAGUAACGGUUAGAACCCAUCCAUCCAGAGUCCUAUGGAAUAAACAGUGUCAACAGUAAUGGUUAGAACCCAUCCAUUCAGAGUCCUAUAGAAUAAACAGUAACGGUUAGAACCCAUCCAUCCAGAGUCCUAUGGAAUAAACAGUAACGGUUAGAACCCAUCCAUCCAGAGUCCUAUGGAAUAAACAGUAACGGUUAGAACCCAUCCAUCCAGAGUCCUAUGGAUUAAACAGUAACGGUUAGAACCCAUCCAUUCAGAGUCCUAUGGAAUAAACAGUGUCAACAGUAACGGUUAGAACCCAUCCAUCCAGAGUCCUAUGGAUUAAACAGUGUCAACAGUAAUGGUUAGAACCCAUCCAUUCAGAGUCCUAUGGAUUAAACAGUGUCAACAGUAACGGUUAGAACCCAUCCAUUCAGAGUCCUAUGGAAUAAACAGUGUCAACAGUAACGGUUAGAACCCAUCCAUCCAGAGUCCUAUGGAAUAAACAGUGUCAACAGUAACGGUUAGAACCCAUCCUUUCAGAGUCCUAUGGAAUAAACAGUAUCAACAGUGAGGGAUAGAACCCAUCCAUCGAGAGUCCUAUGGAUUAAACAGUGUCAACAGUAAGGGAUAGCAUAUGGUACAGUUUCUUCAUCUCUACAUAAUGGUCACAUUGUAUGUAUAUGCAGAGCAAGAUGGCAGGGUGUGUGUGUGUGGGUGUGUGUGUGUGUGUGUCUGAGUCUAAUCUGAAAUACCUCAGUUGUCCUAUUCGUGGUUUUAGGGGUUGUCAACAAUGGUUUGGCAUCGACUUUCACGUCUUUGAUUUGCAAUAAUAAUAAACUGUCCUUGUGUUCUGUUGUCGGUAUAGAUCAGGGGUUCCCAAACGUUUUCACUCGGAGCCCCCCUCUCCAGCGUUGGGUAACAUCCCGUACCGUCCACCCCCGUCCCACGCCCCUUCGUCCCGUACCGUCCCCGUCCCCCCCUAUGGACACAAGCACUGUUCAUGACGCAAACUGUUGACACCCCGCUUGUUGGCGGAGAGAAUUUAGCAGGUUUAAAAGCUUUUUUCCUGCAAUUCUACACAUUUUGUCAUAUGGGGUGCAAGGAAAUUGUUGCCGUUUAAAUGCUAAUUUUCUUGCAAUUAUUUUACAAUUUUGUCAUGUCUAAUGGUUCCCAAACUCUGGGCACCCCACAGUUUGGGAACCACUGGAAUAGACGACCACCUAUUGUUUCCGUCAAUCCGCUGUGUUUCAGUACAAUGUCUAUAUGGGGGUACGUGUCAAUGAAGCCAAAUGUUACUUUUUUUUAGUGUGUCCUAGUUUGCCCCUACAUUGCAAUAACAACGAUAGAGACCUUUGGAAAUUGGACUAUACAAACCUUUAUUCAAAGAAAGCACUGUUGUGAUAUUUAAUUAAAGGCAAGAAACAAUGCUUCACCUACUGUACCAGUGAGAGGAUGAGGUGAUGGGCAUCACCAAUACCUACCAGUGAGAGGAUGAGGUGAUGGGCAUCACCAAUACCUACCAGUGAGUGGAUGAGGUGAUGAGCAUCACCAAUACCUACCAGUGAGUGGAUGAGGUGAUGGGCAUCACCAAUACCUACCAGUGAGUGGAUGAGGUGAUGAGCAUCACCAAUACCUACCAGUGAGUGGAUGAGGUGCUGUGCUUCACCUACUGUACCAGUGAGAGGAUGAGGUGCUGUGCUUCACCUACUGUACCAGUGAGAGGAUGAGGUGAUGGGCAUCACCAAUACCUACCAGUGAGUGGAUGAGGUGCUGUGCUUCACCUACUGUACCAGUGAGUGGAUGAGGUGCUGUGCUUCACCUACUGUACCAGUGAGAGGAUGAGGUGAUGGGCAUCACCAAUACCUACCAGUGAGUGGAUGAGGUGCUGUGCAUCACCAAUACCUACCAGUGAGAGGAUGAGGUGCUGUGCUUCACCUACUGUACCAGUGAGUGGAUGAGGUGAUGGGCAUCACCAAUACCUACCAGUGAGAGGAUGAGGUGCUGUGCAUCACCAAUACCUACCAGUGAGAGGAUGAGGUGCUGUGCAUCACCUACUGUACCAGUGAGAGGAUGAGGUGCUGUGCUUCACCUACUGUACCAGUGAGAGGAUGAGGUCAUGUGCAUCACCAAUACCUACCAGUGAGUGGAUGAGGUGCUGUGCUUCACCUACUGUACCAGUGAGUGGAUGAGGUCAUGUGCAUCACCAAUACCUACCAGUGAGUGGAUGAGGUGAUGAGCAUCACCAAUACCUACCAGUGAGUGGAUGAGGUGCUGUGCAUUACCAAUACCUACCAGUGAGUGGAUGAGGUGAUGAGCAUCACCAAUACCUACCAGUGAGUGGAUGAGGUGAUGAGCAUCACCAAUACCUACCAGUGAGUGGAUGAGGUGCUGUGCAUUACCAAUACCUACCAGUGAGUGGAUGAGGUGAUGAGCAUCACCAAUACCUACCAGUGAGUGGAUGAGGUGCUGUGCUUCACCUACUGUACCAGUGAGUGGAUGAGGUGCUGUGCAUCACCAAUACCUACCAGUGAGUGGAUGAGGUGCUGUGCAUCACCAAUACCUACCAGUGAGUGGAUGAGGUGCUGUGCAUUACCAAUACCUACCAGUGAGUGGAUGAGGUGAUGAGCAUCACCAAUACCUACCAGUGAGUGGAUGAGGUGCUGUGCAUCACCAAUACCUACCAGUGAGUGGAUGAGGUGCUGUGCAUCACCAAUACCUACCAGUGAGUGGAUGAGGUGCUGUGCAUCACCAAUACCUACCAGUGAGUGGAUGAGGUGCUGUGCAUUACCAAUACCUACCAGUGAGUGGAUGAGGUGAUGAGCAUCACCAAUACCUACCAGUGAGUGGAUGAGGUGCUGUGCUUCACCAAUACCUACCAGUGAGUGGAUGAGGUGAUGAGCAUCACCAAUACCUACCAGUGAGUGGAUGAGGUGCUCUGCAGAGUUAGUUUGUGUCUUACCUUGUUGAGAGGUAGUGUGUGGUUCGUAUAGCCCAUUGCAGUGAGAUGUGUUCAUAUCUUAAACAAUUAUAAUAACAAUCAUUUAUACCUGU